GGUAAAACUAAAGUACAGAUUAUCCAGGCAGCCAAUAAAUGAUUUGCACGACCUCAUUGAAGACGACAUUAAACCAAAAACCAUGCGAAUUCAUGCCACUCCAGUGAUGACAAAGCUCCUCAUAACACCGCAGUUGUUGGCGAAAGGGGAAUUCUAAAGUGAGGGUGGACUUGUUUAUGGCGUCUCCAGAAGCUCUGUAUGUGUAUGAUACUAUCUGUUUGGCAAAUGCCUUCAUAAAACAGGAGGAUUUUUGCAGAUCACCCCAGAGAAGUUUGCUGCACAACAUUAUUGUGCAUUGAUGGAGGGGUGCAGUUUGAUGGACAGAUUCAAGUUGCACCAGGAAAUGCACCACCACACUUGUGGCUAGUUGACCCCAAUGACCAGAGGGCAAGAGCAGCCCUCAUUGCCAGAUUUCAAUAUAAAUACCCUGGAUGUGGUAGUUAGUCAUCCAAAACAUUUAUUGUUAUUUAAACAUUUAUUGUUAUUUUUGUCUUCACAAGUGUCAAAAUGCUUACCAUUCCAUUUUUAAUGAACUUUUGGUUAUUAAAAACUGUUAUUUUUUCUUUUAUAGUUAUUUUGAACAAUUUCAACCGUUUAAAUUGUAAUGAAUAGACAUUUGAGGUUAUUUUUUAAACAUUGUUAACUUAAAAAAUACUUUGAUUUUGUAAUCUGUUGAAUGAUGUUUCUCUUACGGUAUUUAUGUAAUGUGAUUUUUGUUCUGAUUUCUUGCCCACUUGUGAAUGUAUUAAUUUGAUAUGUUUAUAUACAGUAAAAUACUUAUUGACAUAGGGUAUAUGUUUGUUUUAUAAACUGUCUUGUUUCCCAAAUCAACAUUACUGAGUGUUGAUGUGGAAAAUCACAAAAGUAGUUUUGGAUUGAAUCCAAGAUCUCAUAGUUUGUAGGCAGGUCAUGUUCCUCUGUAUAAUGGUAAACAACAAAAACUCAUAAUACUGUCAAGGGUAGUUAUUGCACUUAGUUUUUUUUGCAUUGUUGGUGGCACCAUUUUUGCAGUAUGUAUUGAAGUAAAAGCAAUCAAGAGGAAUAAAAUGUCAUUCUAGGGAUUUUAUUAAUUAUUCAAUACAAAAUGGAAAGUGUGCAUCUCAAUAUCUCAAUAACAUGAAGUGUUUGUGCUAAUAUUUGAAUUCCAUAGAUGUAUCAUUAUUAUUAUUUCAACAAAGUGAAAAGACAAAGGUAAAACAUAUCUAUCUGUGAAAUAAGUGAAAACUUUAUUUGUGUGAAUUUAAAAUUGACAUUUUACAUCAAGUUUAACUUGAAAAACAACAACACAAUAGU
Molecule: long non-coding RNA, 1293 nt
Organism: Mya arenaria
Lineage: Eukaryota; Metazoa; Mollusca; Bivalvia; Myida; Myidae
Exons: 3
Source: RefSeq, a predicted model, not a curated record